Molecule: long non-coding RNA, 317 nt
Filed under: Homo sapiens (human)
Lineage: Eukaryota; Metazoa; Chordata; Mammalia; Primates; Hominidae
Description: LHRI_LNC1162.1
Source: RNAcentral
GUAUGUUCAUUGCAGCACUAUUAACAGUAACAAAGCUGGGCACAGUGGCUCACCUCACGACUGUAAUCCCAGCACUUUGGGAGGCUGAGGUAGGCGGAUCACCUGAGGUCGGCAGUUUGAGACCAGCCUGACCAACAUGGAGAGACCCCAUCUCUACUAAAAAUACAAAAUUAGCCAGGUGUGGUGGCUCAUGCCUGUAAUCCCAGCUACUUGGGAGGCCAAGGCAGGAGAAUUGCUUGAACCCAGGAGGCAGAGGUUGCAGUGAGCCGAGAUCACACCAUUGCACUCUAGCCUGGUGAAGGAGCAAGACUCCAUCU